Molecule: long non-coding RNA, 1076 nt
Filed under: Heterocephalus glaber (naked mole-rat)
Lineage: Eukaryota; Metazoa; Chordata; Mammalia; Rodentia; Bathyergidae
Description: lncRNA (ENSHGLG00000040177.1)
Source: RNAcentral
GGAGAGGGGAGAGAGGAGGCUGGAAAUCACCAAAAGCCACAACUACUGAAGUCAGGUCUCUGCCAUGUGCUGGGUGACCUUAGCCUGCCCUUCCCUCGGUCUCUUCCCUCUUUUCUGGAAUAGAACCCAGAGCCUUGCACAUGCUAGACAAGCGCUCACCCUGAGCCACCCAGGCUGGCCUCGAACUUGAGGUGAUCCUCCUGCCUCAGCCUCCCAAGUGCUGGGCUUCCAGUUCCGAGCUGGAGUCCCUGCAUCAAGCCGUUCCUGAAGCCAGCGUCCUUGAAUAUGUUUCCUUCAGCUAUGAGAGCCAGCUCCCCUGCUUUUCACUAAGGCAACUCCUGUUGGCCAGCACUCCCCAGACCAGCGCCACCUCCUCUAAGACGCCUCCUCUGCCUCCCCUCCCCCAGGCGGUUCUGGGGGCUUCUGUCUUUCCUUGCGUUCAAGACGCACCAGGAUCCGAAGCAUCAACCACAAGGAACGAACAACACCCCGAUUACACCACCGUAACACGAGACUUUGUUCAGGUGGGGAAACUGAGGCCCAGAGAGGCAAAGCACAGAAACAGGGACAGCACCAGCACCAGCACCAGGGUUCAGGCUCUGGACAUGUGGGACAAGAAUUCACCUUCCAGGGCUUCCCAGGGUGAUGGCCCGGACUCCUCAGCCAGAGCCCUGGUGGCCACGGGGAUAAGCAGCUGCCCCGCGGGGCUGAAACGUAGCCAGCGAUGCUCCUGCGAGGGGAGGCCCCGCGUCACGCGUGGGCGGCAGAGCCGGAACUCGGGGCACAGCUAUUUCUGGAGGCCGAGGCGAGAAAGUGGGGGCGGCGGAAGAGCCUCACAGGAACGGGGAGGCUGGGGGCCCCGGCGGGGGGCUCAGGGCCUGGUGUCCUCUGUGGGAAUGGAGAGCCGGGUGCAGAACCCCGAGCCCCUGUGGGCGCCAGAGGAGGAGCCAGGCAGGGAUGCUGUCCCCAACAGGCGACAAGACGCCCGGACAGACUGGCCGGGCCCUGGGGCAAAGCCAAGCUAGGACCUGGAAAUGUGGAGCCGGGUGGACGGCUGGGCUGCAGAUUUAAAUACG